CCCGCAGAGACGCCGGCCGUGUCUGCGUAGGCCGUGUAGCCGGUGACCGGAAGUGAGAAGCAGGUGCUCCAGUGGCGCAAUCGGUUAGCGCGCGGUACUUAUACAGCAGUAUGUGUGCGAGGGAUGCCGAGGUUGUGAGUUCGAGCCUCACCUGGAGCAUCGUUUUCCAGCCAGAGGCUACAUCCUCGAGGGAGACCCUUUCCUCUGCUUCCCCAGACCCUUUCCUCUGCCGCCCCAGGUCCUUCCGGACCAUGUCGCACCAUCUUUGAUGUGUCUGAAUUUGUUCUAAAUCCUGUGUCCUCGCCGUUCUCCGUGGCGCUUGUGAAAUCGAACAGUGUCAAGCCUUUACAGACUGAAUCUGCUGCGCUGCAACGGUGGCAUCACCUCUAGUAUUGUCCCCCACCACCCUUAAGUCUUCCCUGAUGAACCAACAACGAGGGAUGAUACAGCAGCAUUUGCCAACUGAGAAACAGAACCUGGUGUCCUCAGAUGAUGCAAUUGUCUGGGGCUGGUACAGGAUGAGUGAUAAAGAGCCCCAGCAACCAGAAGUCUGUAGAAAGUCACAGGAGUGAGCAUAACCACAAUUGUGCCUGAGGGAGAAGCUAGAUUCCAUGUAAGAAGUCUAAGACUGUGAUGUUCUGAAGAGGUUCCGGCUAAUCACAGGGAAAGCCUACACAGAGAUUCCUGACCAGCUCCGAGCUGUUCCAGACAUUCCAGCUGAAAUAUCAAACCUGAAGGCCAUCACAGAUAUUCCAAGCCUAACGGAUACCCCAUGGAGCAGAGAGAAGCCAUCUCUGUCAAUCCCUGCCCAA
This is a long non-coding RNA of Mustela lutreola (European mink), 812 nucleotides long. RefSeq lists it as uncharacterized. The record is from RefSeq and is a predicted model, not a curated record. The transcript is spliced from 3 exons. NCBI's taxonomy places the organism in Eukaryota, Metazoa, Chordata, Mammalia, Carnivora, Mustelidae.